CGGAGUGAAAGAGAAAAGAAGGACCACGAGCUUCCCAGCCCCCAAAAAUGCCCCAGUCUUCUCACCACCCGGCCGCCUCCCAUGACCAGAAACCCCCGGCCACCACGAGCCUACCACCCCGGCCGCCGCUGGCCUCCAUCCCCGGCCGCUGCUGGCCUCCAUCCCCGACCGCCGCGAGGCUCCCACCCCCGGCCGCUACGAGGCUCCCACCCCCGGUCAUCUCUGGCCUCCAUCCCCAACCGCCGCGAGGCUCCCACCUCCGCCCACCGCUAGCCUCCAUCCCCGGCCGCCGCGAGGCUCCCACCCCCGGCCACCGCGAGCCUCAAUCCCCGGCCGCCGCGAGCGCCACCGCCCUGCGUGCCCGCAUAUGUCCCAUUCCCGGCGACAAGGUCGCCGCCUAUGGAUCUCUCCUGUAGCCUCCGUUUGUGCUAGUGGAGGGAGAAAUCAGAGAUGGAGUUGGCGAAUUUCUUGUGCCUUUUCUGUUCAAUGGAUAGAUGGAUGGAUGGGUGUAGUUCUCUGAAUGUAACCUGUGAUCCAGUGCUGCUCAACUUCCUCUGAACCCCUAAUCUUGUUCUGCUCCCAGUCAUUAUCAGUUCGACAAAAGGUUGUAGAAAAGGUCAGAGUUGAGACUAGUUGUCAUUAAGGUUAGCCCCUUUGUUUCAGAUUCAGUAUCUCCAUUACCAGUAUAAAAAAAAGGGCCAGCGGCCCAAUCCUAGUGCCGCUCAUGAUCUCCCUCUCCAAGCACCGCACCCAUUAAGCACCCACACAUGGGCAAAUCCUGGCGCCGCUCGUGAUCUCUGCCUCCGUCAGUUCCACUUCGCCGGAGCAAUCAGUCUAGAGGAGGAGGUGUAGCCGGUCCUCCUGAUCUCCGACGUCUUAUUCCAACUCCAAAAAAAUUCUUUUUGAGUUCUAUUCUUAGUCACAGUACACAUGCAGCUUCUAAACUUCUUGUCCAGUCAUUCUAGUACUGAUGAAGAUCGAGUUGAUUGAAAUUAUGUAGUCGAUUACUGAGACCCUUACUAGUCCUUCCAUAUAUAGAACUUAUGCCUGAUAGGGACAUGACUUAUCUCUUUGUUGCCUGCUUGUUUUUGUAAAAUUCUUUGAACUUACUUAGGUGAUAUAUUUGGACCUUUGCCUCAUUAGUACAACAUCACACUCCAUAGCCGGGCACGAGAAAAGCUGCGUGCAGGCCACCCUAUGCUCCGUCCUCUAUCCGCCUCAGUCAUCUCCCUCUCAUUCUCUCUCUGCUCCGUGUGUGUGUGCAGGGAGUGGGAGGAGAUAGAGCAGGGGCGUGGGAGGCCCUUCCACGGUGAAUGCAUAUGCAUCUUCCAUGGAGAUUGUGAGCUCUCUCAAUUAUUGCUUGAGGAUUUAUAUUAUUGGUUUGUCCACUGUAGUUCUUGUAUAGCGGCGUCCUCUUUUUCUCAUGUUCCUCUUUAGAUGUUGCUGCAUGUGUUUAAUGACCCACUGAUAUGAUUUCUGGAAACAAGCUUCAGUACAGAGAAGCUUCAGUAUGAGAAAAAAUGGGUCAUUAGUUCAUCCAUAUGCAACCUCCCGCGUGGUCAUCCAUUUUUAUUUGGAGCCUACUCACUACAAAGCACAAAAGAGGUUGGUGCUCACCUUCUUUGAGACCGCCGCCCACUCCCACAUUUACAGGCUCUACGACAAGACCUACUGCCUCGGCACCGCCACCGAUUGUGGAGUUUGAAGUAGCGGAGACGACAACCAUAUGUAGAUCGGCGAGUGCGGGAUCAACCUCAGCAGCAGCCAGAAGCAGCGCAUUCAGCUCGCCCGCGUCGUCUACCAGGACUGCGACAUCUAACUCCUUGACGACGUCUUCAGCACCAUCGAUGCGCACACCGGCAGUGAGAUCUUCAAGCCGGCCGUGUUGUGUAUUCUGGUCAGUUCGUGUGUGUAUUGUGUUGCCCUCGAGCUGUAUGAGAGGCCGCCCGCAGAGCCGAGGAAGUCGUCGAUCUGGUCGAGGCAUGCUCUUAUUCUCAAUUUUCAGUAGCACAGAAAUUUGAAAGUUCGAAUGCCAGACCUUGGUAAGUUCUCCUUGACAAAACAUCAUCUCUCAUAUUUGUUCCUACUUUUGUAGGUUGCAGCAAAAACAAGAUGCACAAGUUCAUUUUUUGUAUGCUUUUCAGUACAUCUACUUCCUGACGGUGAGUCAUAUUUCCUUUGUGUUUCCAUCUUCAUAUAUAGCACAAACAAGUGCUUGUGGUUAUGCUUCAGAAUGAGAACCGUACUGCCUCUUGGUUCAGUUCAAUAUAUAAUUUUAGUUAAGUGCAAUAUAUAAUUUUAGUUUAGUUCAAUAUCUUGAGUAUCACCUUUUUCUGCCAUGAACUCAUGCUAACUAUGAGCAACUAAAUUCACUCUGAAUAUGAUGAUACUAAACCAUAAGUUAGCUCUGAACUCACAUAUUUGUCUUAACAAUUGACAGGUCUGAAUAUGUUGCCCCCACCAUGCCGAUUUACUGCUGCGACCUCGUUGAUUCCCCGCCUUCGAACUGCUCCCUCAAUCCCCUCCGUGGACCACCGCCGACGGUGGGCUGCACCUUCCACGGGAAGCCAUGUGACCGUGUAGACGCACGUCUUCAUUGAGUCGCUCACUGCGCAUAUGUGUGUGUUGUGUUCGUGCGUGCGUGGCCGCGACCAUGCUUCGCAUUUCGGUGUUGUCUAUGUGUGGUCGUGUGGGCGUCUCACCUCAAACACAUCCCAGGCCGGUGCACGAGUUGCUGAGGAAACGCCCAAGGUUGUGGCCACUCGACCACAACUUCGUCUCCUGGAAGGUGUUGGAUGUGGACAGCCAGAACGAGUUCAAGUCUAUGUGGUUCAUCGAGGAGAAAAAGAAGAGGAACUCAACUUGUUUCUCUGUGGACAAGGCCAGAAGAAAUUGUGCUCUGAACAUGCUUGUUGAUACGCCCAUGAGAACGGGUGCAUUUUUCUAUAGAUUUUUGUGUUGCUGACAAAGCUACACAAGUUCUACUUUUACAAGUUGAACUUUAGAACAUCCUAUAGAAAGUUCGUGCAUGUAUGGAUGUUCUUUUGACAUUGAGCUAUUAAGUGCUUGCAAAAUCUACAGUUUUGAUCCAUCAA
Molecule: long non-coding RNA, 3095 nt
Organism: Triticum aestivum (bread wheat)
Lineage: Eukaryota; Viridiplantae; Streptophyta; Magnoliopsida; Poales; Poaceae
Exons: 5
Source: RefSeq, a predicted model, not a curated record